RNAcentral lists this RNase P RNA (426 nucleotides) under Haloarcula marismortui. RNAcentral's name for it is "RNase P RNA component". It matches the Rfam family "Archaeal RNase P". Rfam says of the family: Ribonuclease P (RNase P) is a ubiquitous endoribonuclease, found in archaea, bacteria and eukarya as well as chloroplasts and mitochondria. Its best characterised activity is the generation of mature 5'-ends of tRNAs by cleaving the 5'-leader elements of precursor-tRNAs. Lineage: Archaea; Methanobacteriati; Methanobacteriota; Halobacteria; Halobacteriales; Haloarculaceae. RNAcentral also lists the same sequence under 4 other names. The record is from RNAcentral.
GGCAGCGGGAGGCCGGCUCCCGUGGCGCAAGCCAUGAGGAAAGUCCCCCCACCUGUCGGACAGGUGACCGGGCGCAAGCCCGGGGCGGGAGACCGUCGGCUCUGGAACAGCAACGACACGUCGUCGCCGGACCGAUGAGGUGUGCGAAUCCCGAGCGAGGCGACUCGUGCCCCACCAGACGGUGCGGCACGCCGCCAAAGCGAGGGAGAGGUAACCCACCGAGGGCAGUUGCGACCCGGUGACUCCGGGGCGCAUUCCGUGGGCCGUCUCUGACGCCCCACGCUUCCGGCGACGGACCGAUGGAACGGCGAAACCUCACCGGUGCAAGGCCGCGUCGACAGGUAGUCCGACGCUGCGCGCAAGCGCUGGACGUGGCCGCUCAGCCGAAUGCUGGCCCGAACAGAAGGGGGCUUACUCCCCGCAGCC